AAAAAGACAAACCCUGGUUUCCGUGUCCAACGUUUGACCGUCCGUCUUAUUUGAAAAAAAUUAAAAAGAUAAGUCACGCAUAAAGUAUUAAUCUUGUUUUAUCAUCUAACAACAAUGAAAAUACUAAUUACAAAAAAAUUUCAUAUAAGACAGACAGUCAAAUAUUGGCACGGAAACCCAGUGUUUGCUUUUUU
This 194-nucleotide microRNA precursor is filed under the name Oryza rufipogon (brownbeard rice). RNAcentral's name for it is "MIR812 microRNA precursor family". It matches the Rfam family "MIR812 microRNA precursor family". The record is from Rfam by way of RNAcentral. Lineage: Eukaryota; Viridiplantae; Streptophyta; Magnoliopsida; Poales; Poaceae.